This 468-nucleotide ribosomal RNA is filed under the name uncultured bacterium. RNAcentral describes it as "partial 16S ribosomal RNA". It matches the Rfam family "Bacterial small subunit ribosomal RNA", at positions 28 to 507 of the family's 1533-position model. The record is from RNAcentral.
GACGAACGCUGGCGGCGUGCUUAACACAUGCAAGUCGAACGGAAAGGCCCUGCUUUUGUGGGGUGCUCGAGUGGCGAACGGGUGAGUAACACGUGAGUAACCUGCCCUUGACUUUGGGAUAACUUCAGGAAACUGGAGCUAAUACCGGAUAGGAGCUCCUGCUGCAUGGUGGGGGUUGGAAAGUUUCGGCGGUUGGGGAUGGACUCGCGGCUUAUCAGCUUGUUGGUGGGGUAGUGGCCUACCAAGGCUUUGACGGGUAGCCGGCCUGAGAGGGUGACCGGCCACAUUGGGACUGAGAUACGGCCCAGACUCCUACGGGAGGCAGCAGUGGGGAAUAUUGCACAAUGGGCGGAAGCCUGAUGCAGCAACGCCGCGUGCGGGAUGACGGCCUUCGGGUUGUAAACCGCUUUCGCCUGUGACGAAGCGUGAGUGACGGUAAUGGGUAAAGAAGCACCGGCUAACUACGUG